Molecule: ribosomal RNA, 442 nt
Filed under: uncultured ammonia-oxidizing beta proteobacterium
Lineage: Bacteria; Pseudomonadati; Pseudomonadota; Betaproteobacteria
Description: bacterial SSU rRNA
Rfam family: Bacterial small subunit ribosomal RNA
Source: RNAcentral
GGAGGAAAGCAGGGGAUCGCAAGACCUUGCGCUUUUGGAGCGGCCGAUGUCUGAUUAGCUAGUUGGUGGGGUAAAGGCUUACCAAGGCAACGAUCAGUAGUUGGUCUGAGAGGACGACCAGCCACACUGGGACUGAGACACGGCCCAGACUCCUACGGGAGGCAGCAGUGGGGAAUUUUGGACAAUGGGCGAAAGCCUGAUCCAGCCAUGCCGCGUGAGUGAAGAAGGCCUUCGGGUUGUAAAGCUCUUUCAGUCGAGAAGAAAAAAUUGCGACUAAUAAUCGCAAUUCAUGACGGUAUCGACAGAAGAAGCACCGGCUAACUACGUGCCAGCAGCCGCGGUAAUACGUAGGGUGCAAGCGUUAAUCGGAAUUACUGGGCGUAAAGGGUGCGCAGGCGGCCUUGUAGGUCAGAUGUGAAAUCCCCGGGCUUAACCUGGGAAU